GAAGGGGGCUAGCGUUGCUCGGAAUCACUGGGCGUAAAGGGUGCGUAGGCGGGUCUUUAAGUCAGGGGUGAAAUCCUGGAGCUCAACUCCGGAACUGCCUUUGAUACUGAAGAUCUUGAGUUCGGGAGAGGUGAGUGGAACUGCGAGUGUAGAGGUGAAAUUCGUAGAUAUUCGCAAGAACACCAGUGGCGAAGGCGGCUCACUGGCCCGAUACUGACGCUGAGGCACGAAAGCGUGGGGAGCAAACAGGAUUAGAUACCCUAGUAGUCCACGCCGUAAACGAUGAAUGCCAGCCGUUAGUGGGUUUACUCACUAGUGGCGCAGCUAACGCUUUAAGCAUUCCGCCUGGGGAGUACGGUCGCAAGAUUA
RNAcentral lists this ribosomal RNA (369 nucleotides) under uncultured bacterium. Its description in RNAcentral is "bacterial SSU rRNA". It matches the Rfam family "Bacterial small subunit ribosomal RNA", at positions 527 to 896 of the family's 1533-position model. The record is from RNAcentral.